AAGUCGUAACAAGGUUUCCGUAGGUGAACCGGAAGGAUCAUUAACACGUAUCCAAACGUUAAACCCCCCUGUGAACCUUCAGUGUACUCGUACGUCCGUUAGAAAAAGCAGCAAUCCCUGGUAAAUCAUCGCCGAACAGUUUUCGAUUCAGGGACGUCUGCAAGGAGCACAGUUAAUGACACUUUCAGACACUAACUGCUUGGGGAUGCCAGGCCACUUGCUUCGCACAACAUGCACGCUCCUGUAAGGAUGACGCAGUCACGAUCGUUGGAGGCCCACACGGCCGACGACCGGGUCACUGGGCGCAAGCCCCCCUAUAACAAACGCUGCCAAUCGCGGCCGCGAUAAUACGCAGUCGACAAAAAACCGAACAACUGUUAACAAU
RNAcentral lists this unclassified non-coding RNA (385 nucleotides) under fungal sp. RNAcentral's name for it is "partial internal transcribed spacer region". The record is from RNAcentral. Lineage: Eukaryota; Fungi.